UAGCGUAGGGGGCAAGCGUUGUCCGGAUUUAUUGGGCGUAAAGAGCGUGUAGGCGGCCAGGUAGGUCCGCUGUGAAAACUCGAGGCUCAACCUCGAGAUGUCGGCGGAAACCAUCUGGCUAGAGUCCGGAAGAGGAGAGUGGAAUUCCUGGUGUAGCGGUGAAAUGCGCAGAUAUCAGGAAGAACACCCGUGGCGAAGGCGGCUCUCUGGGACGGUACUGACGCUGAGACGCGAAAGCGUGGGGAGCGAACAGG
Molecule: ribosomal RNA, 254 nt
Filed under: uncultured bacterium
Lineage: Bacteria
Description: partial 16S ribosomal RNA
Rfam family: Bacterial small subunit ribosomal RNA
Source: RNAcentral